This 465-nucleotide ribosomal RNA is filed under the name uncultured bacterium. RNAcentral describes it as "partial 16S ribosomal RNA". It matches the Rfam family "Bacterial small subunit ribosomal RNA", at positions 28 to 507 of the family's 1533-position model. The record is from RNAcentral.
GACGAACGCUGGCGGCGUGCUUAACACAUGCAAGUCGUACGGUAAGGCCCUUUCGGGGGUACACGAGUGGCGAACGGGUGAGUAACACGUGAGUAACCUGCCCACAACUUUGGGAUAACGCUAGGAAACUGGUGCUAAUACUGGAUAUGUGCUCCUGCUGCAUGGUGUGGGUUGGAAAGCUCCUGCGGUUGUGGAUGGACUCGCGGGCUAUCAGCUUGUUGGUGGGGUAGUGGCCUACCAAGGCGGCGACGGGUAGCCGGCCAGUGAGGGUGACCGGCCACAUUGGGACUGAGGUACGGCCCAGACGCCUACGGGAGGCAGCAGUGGGGAAUAUUGCACAAUGGGCGCAAGCCUGAUGCAGCAGCGCCGCGUGCGGGAUGACGGCCUUCUGGUUGUAAAACGGUUUCAGCAGGGACGAAGCUUUUUGUGACGGUACCUGCAGAAGAAGCACCGGCUAACUACGUG